UUGGGGCCCUUCUUGCCCGCACGUCUAGAUCUAGGCGAUGAUGGUGCACAUGCACAUGUGGGGUGGCAGGCUCUCCCCGUUGCCGGCAUCGACAACGUCUCCUGCGGCGGCAUUUGCUUCCUCCUAGACGGCACCUUCAUCUGCACGGCCGCGCGGCGACUCACAGAGUGGUGGUGGAUGUUACGGCGUCCAUGGGCGGAUGGGGAGUGGAUGGGGGACUGCUCCCCUACACCCAGCUCCGGGUUCUUGUGCCUCAGGUACCGGACUCGUCGACAUCGGGGAAAAUCUUUAGGCCUGGCCUUUGUUGUUUGUGCUUGA
This 318-nucleotide unclassified non-coding RNA is filed under the name Zea mays. RNAcentral's name for it is "misc RNA Zm00001eb134740". Lineage: Eukaryota; Viridiplantae; Streptophyta; Magnoliopsida; Poales; Poaceae. The record is from RNAcentral.